UACGUAGGGUGCGAGCGUUGUCCGGAAUUAUUGGGCGUAAAGGGCUCGUAGGCGGUCUGUCACGUCGAAAGUGAAAACUCAGGGCUUAACCCUGAGCCUGCUUCCGAUACGGGCAGACUAGAGGUAUGCAGGGGAGAAUGGAAUUCCUGGUGUAGCGGUGAAAUGCGCAGAUAUCAGGAGGGACACCAGUGGCGAAGGCGGUUCUCUGGGCAUUACCUGACGCUGAGGAGCGAAAGUGUGGGGAGCGAACAGG
Molecule: ribosomal RNA, 253 nt
Filed under: uncultured bacterium
Lineage: Bacteria
Description: partial 16S ribosomal RNA
Rfam family: Bacterial small subunit ribosomal RNA
Source: RNAcentral